GGUCAAUGAUUAUUUUGUAAGAGUAGUGGACAGAAGAGAUUUCUGAGAAAUUUUAACAAUGAGGCU
Molecule: small nucleolar RNA, 66 nt
Filed under: Cyprinodon variegatus (sheepshead minnow)
Lineage: Eukaryota; Metazoa; Chordata; Actinopteri; Cyprinodontiformes; Cyprinodontidae
Description: Small nucleolar RNA SNORD75 (ENSCVAG00000000591.1)
Rfam family: Small nucleolar RNA SNORD75
About the family: U75 (SNORD75) belongs to the C/D class of snoRNAs which contain the C (UGAUGA) and D (CUGA) box motifs. Most of the members of the box C/D family function in directing site-specific 2'-O-methylation of substrate RNAs.
Source: Rfam by way of RNAcentral